This 138-nucleotide ribosomal RNA is filed under the name uncultured bacterium. RNAcentral describes it as "partial 16S ribosomal RNA". It matches the Rfam family "Bacterial small subunit ribosomal RNA", at positions 355 to 509 of the family's 1533-position model. The record is from RNAcentral.
UGGGGAAUAUUGCACAAUGGGGGAAACCCGUGAUGCAGCGACGCCGCGUGAAGGAAGAAGUAUUUCGGUAUGUAAACUUCUAUCAGCAGGGAAGAAAAUGACGGUACCUGAGUAAGAAGCACCGGCUAAAUACGUGCC